This is a long non-coding RNA of Etheostoma cragini (Arkansas darter), 887 nucleotides long. RefSeq lists it as uncharacterized. The record is from RefSeq and is a predicted model, not a curated record. Lineage: Eukaryota; Metazoa; Chordata; Actinopteri; Perciformes; Percidae. The transcript is spliced from 3 exons.
GGUUUGGGCUUCUUGUUGUUAAAGCCCUUCCUCACUGAAAUCAUUUCCACUAUACGUAUGUAGAUACUUUGUUACACUUUCGUUCAACAAGUCAGUGGAUUUUGCUUAAAUGGAUAGUUGAAGUAGUUUGGGAAAUACACAUUUGCUUUAUUACUGAGAGCCCAAUGAGUAGAUUGAUUCUACUCUCUAGACAUGAAAGUGGUAUUGAUCUUUUCAUCUAACUCUAAGCAAGAAAAAAUAUUCUUUAACAUCUCUCUCCUUGUGAUAAAACCAAAUCAUAACACUAGUGAUUAGACUUCAUAAUUGGUAGUUGCAGGUAGUUGGAGCUUCAAAAGCCACAUGUAGGCCUACAGAGCAGCUCCACAUAGGGUUACUGUUAGUGUAUUGACAGAAGUAUGAGAGAGUGCUGCCGUCAGCUGAUUGUUUUGUCAAACUAAAGACUGCACUACCAAUCAUUUUAAUCAUAUCCUUUUCAUUGUUACCUCUAUUUUCAUUACUUGAACAAUCUUAAAAGAAGAACCACCAGUCUCCAUCAUGAGACGACAUGUACAUGCAACAUGCAGAUUUCUUUUUUUCUUGUUGUGUGUUGUCACCUGACACUUGGCUAAAUUUAUUUUUAUUUUUUAUUUUUUACCACUUUUCUGUCUUUUUAGAUCCAUUCCAACUGCAGUAAUCAGUGUUCAUCGGUAAUGGAAAAUGCUCUGUGGUCAUGUUUAAACAUGCUAAAGCUAUCAAGUUGUAAAUAUUCCCAACUCUGUGUUCUGUUUGUUUUGCUCAACUUUUGCUGGCCUGUUUUAGCACUAUUUUGUUUCAGAUUUGAAUGUCAGUAGUGCAUUGCUGCCUAUUACAUGUACAUAACAAAAUUUUACAUAAAUAUGGAAAACUGA